Molecule: ribosomal RNA, 459 nt
Filed under: uncultured bacterium
Lineage: Bacteria
Description: SSU rRNA
Rfam family: Bacterial small subunit ribosomal RNA
Source: RNAcentral
AGAAUCAACGCUGGCGGCGUGCCUAACACAUGCAAGUCGAACGAGAAAGUGGAGCAAUCCAUGAGUAAAGUGGCGCACGGGUGAGUAACACGUGACUAACCUACCCUUGAGUGGGGAAUAACCUCGGGAAACCGGGGCUAAUACCGCAUAACACCUACGGGUCAAAGGAGCAAUUCGCUUAAGGAGGGGGUCGCGGCAGAUUAGUUAGUUGGCGGGGUAAUGGCCCACCAAGACGGUGAUCUGUAUCCGGCCUGAGAGGGCGCACGGACACACUGGAACUGAAACACGGUCCAGACUCCUACGGGAGGCAGCAGUGGGGAAUUUUGCGCAAUGGGGGAAACCCUGACGCAGCAACGCCGCGUGGAGGAUGAAGUCCCUUGGGACGUAACUCCUUUCGAUCGGGACGAUUAUGACGGUACCGGAAGAAGAAGCCCCGGCUAACUUCGUGCCAGCAGCCGC